Molecule: RNA transcript, 3154 nt
Organism: Daucus carota subsp. sativus
Lineage: Eukaryota; Viridiplantae; Streptophyta; Magnoliopsida; Apiales; Apiaceae
Gene name: CBBY-like protein
Exons: 9
Source: RefSeq, a predicted model, not a curated record
UCUCAGCCUCUCAUUCCCUCACCAAACUCCCACGUGUUGCCCAUCGGUAUCUCCGUUGUUGUAUCAGACAAAAGCACGUAUGUACAUUCAAAAUCUACAUUCAAAAUCAGUUGUUAUGUUUUCACUUUUCAGCUGUGAUUGUUUGAGUUGUGAUUGAUGGAUUCCAUGGAAAGGACUAAUUUGAAGUCGGUUGUUUAGGAGCUCGAUUGUGGUAUAUAGUUUUUCAGUUGUAAUGAUGGAUUUUUUAGAAAAAGCCCCUCUCAAGUCGCCGGCAUCGGAGUCGGAAGGAAUUGAGUGUUACAUGGGAUGUUGAUUGUAUGGAGAGUUGCUCAAAGUUGUCGGUGGUGAAGAAAGGUAUUUUGGUGAUUGUUUGACAAUUUAGGAUGACCGCUUAUUUUAUCAAGACAAAGUGGCCAGAAAAAGCUCCAAAGAGUGAAGAAGAACGGAAGGAUUUUAUUGCUUCAGUUCACAAGCGAAAGACAAUGCUAUUUAUGGUCCUCAUUGAGAAGAAGUUGUUUCCUCUACGGCCUGGUGUUGCAAAAUUAAUUGAUCAGACAUUUGCAAAAGGAGUAAAAGUUGCUGUUUGCACUACUUCUAAUGAGAAGGCGGUAUGCUUCAUCAGGUUCUUAACUUAUGAUGUGUAAUAGCCUAAUAGGUUUUGUAGUUCUUAUGAAAGGAAGAAAUGAUCCUUACGGAGCUAAUAUAAAAUCUUGGGAAAAGAUGGAAAAUGGAAUCAUGUUAUAGAUAAAUUAUAUUGUUUUAUUUAUGCCAUGUUAUAGAUAAAUAUUAGUAGAUCUCACGUUUUAAGAUACGUGCCAAGUUGUUCACGGUCUCUGUUAUUUUGUAAGCAUUUAUUUAUUUGGACUUUUGUUCAUGAAACUUUAUUUUCCGGCUUUUAAUGACUAUAUAUUCUAUGCUAUUGUAUUGAUAGAUAUAUGCAAAAACAUAAGAAAGUGAGCAUCAGAGAAGUAAAACAUUGCAGGCAUAUUUUGGAAGGCCUUCUUUACCUCUAUAGCAUAAUCCUCGAAUUCUACAUAGGGAUCUCAAGUGUGACAAUAUUUUUGUAAAUGGCACUCAAGGGGAAUUCAAGUGAUCCUGGCCUUCUGUCAAAAAAAUAAGAAGUGAUCUUGGCCUUGCUGCAAUACUAUGCACAUUACAUGCUGCUCACUGCAUUGGCAAGUUCGUGCACUUUGUAUUUUAAGGUUCAAAUAAUUCAUGUAAAGUGGAUCUGUGCAAGUGAAAAUAGUUCAAUAUAUAGCAUUUGGUGGAGCUAUUGAGAAGCCUCAAGCUAUAUAGCAGCAGAAAGCUACAAAGGCAGAACACAAUUUCAGAGUAGAUGGAUCACUUGGGUUUGCCUUCAGUCCUCUCCUCAACGAAUUAAUAUUGCCCUGACAAGAGCAAGGUGGUCUCUGAUUGCUGGAAUAGUAAUUUCAAAAUUCAAUCCUCUGUCUGAGCGGAAGGAAUGGACUUUGGUGCCAAUAAAAUAAAAGUGUUCUAUUUUGUGGGUAAGUAAUACUAUAAUCUUUUGUCACCCCUUCAUUAAAUUCUUAUAAAUUUAAUCUUUAUUCUCCAGCUUUUCCUACUAUUCCCCUAAUCUUUCAUUGUAAUUAAUGGAGCAUCAUUGUUAGCAUUUGUUUUAAUUAGAUAAUUGUUUCCAUGAUCUGUACAAAUGUUUUGCAUGAUCUCCCAGUUUUUGUGACACAUUGUUACAAGUAUCUAGAUUUGAAUUUCCAUGUGGACUAUUCGAAGGAGUUUAAGCUGGGGGCAAAAGUUGCGACUAAAUUUGAAUACAGGAGACCUUGGACAAACUGACUGGACUCGAUCAACACUUGACCACAUAUCAACAUCCAACUAUGAUAUGUUGAUUCUUCCAGGGGACUUGCGUUUUUUGUGCCUCUGCAUAGCUGAGCUGAUUAGAAUUUUAAUGAAUUUGAAAGCACUGAGCUAGAUUUAAGCUUUGAAUAUCUCACAAAGGAAUAACGUCAGAGGGAUGAAUGUUAAGGCAACAGUUGCUAUAGGCACAAAGAACACAAAUGAUGCUGAUGAUACAUCCUAGACUAUUGAUCUGAAUCAAGCUUUGGUAUUUCCUGAUUGUAUAAAAAAUGUGCAUUAUUAUUUGUUAAUAGCUGGCGGAGAUACAUUUCCUAAUCAUGCAUUGCGUAAUGUGACAAUGGAUUUGGAAGUAAAGUGACAGGUUGUGCUAGAUACAUAUCAGAAACUUGAUGAAACUUGAGGUGCUUGGCUUGAUUAAUCAGUAAUUAAGUAGUCAUAGCCCAUAAAUUCAUCACAACGGGGAAGAAUAAAUUUUAUUACAAUGUUGCAAUGAUUUAAAACUUCUAAUUAGAAUGAGUAUAAUCAGUGUGAUCUGGGAGAGUUUAGAAACCUUCACUUACAUAUUUGGUCAUCGAAAGGUAUGAUGAUAUGUUUUUGCUUUCUACCUUAUCAAUAGUCAUCAUUUCUUUGGGGAUGCAUCUUUUAGUCAGUGAUUGGAGGAGCCUUGAUAGACAAAUAUGGAGGCAAGAAAGUGAUUUCUUGGGGGGUGGCAUUGUGGUCUUUGGCAACUCUACUUACGCCAUGGGCUGCAAAUCACUCAACAACCAGUCUCUUAGUUGUUCGGGCAUUCUUCGGAUUGGCUGAAGGAGUUGCUUUACCAUCAAUGAACACCAUGUUAUCAAAGUGGUUUCGCAGUCAUGAAAGAGCAACUGCUGUUGUAUAUUAUCCAUGGGUGGUUUUCAUCUUGCAAAUGUCAUGGGCUUACUGCUAACACCACUAGCAAUGUCAACUGUAGGAUUGUCUAGCCCUUUCAUGCUCUUCUCUAGGAUUGCUAUGGUCAACUAUCUGGCCCUUUUGUGUGAAAUGAUCCAGAAGAAAGCAAUCCUAUUAGCGUAUCAGAACUACGAUUGAUCCAAGCUGGGAAAUCUGAUUCUCCUCUUGACAAGAGCAGCCUACCUCCUCUAGGGCUUUUAUUAUCUAAAAUGCCCACCUGAUGGGUUAUCAUUUUUGCAAACAUCACUAACAAUUGGUAGGCUUUCAAUCAAAAAUUUAACAUUUUGAUGUAAAGCAUUUUUGCAUUAGUAGGAUUUGAAAGAUGUACUUUUGUGCGGGACUGCGGGGAUACUUUUUUCUUCUAUCAUAGAUGCCAGUGUAUUUUUAA